This 563-nucleotide long non-coding RNA is filed under the name Oryza brachyantha (malo sina). RNAcentral's name for it is "long non-coding RNA (OBRA_LNC000110)". Lineage: Eukaryota; Viridiplantae; Streptophyta; Magnoliopsida; Poales; Poaceae. The record is from RNAcentral.
GCUUGCCCGCAAAACUCCUCUUUGUCUCUCUUUUCGCCAAGUUCUACAGCUGUACUCUUUAUUACACCAUGUGGAAAAAAUGUACGAACAAUGAUAUUAGCUGAUACUAUUUUUUUGUGGUGCACAUUCAAUGCAUGGUUAGUGUGUAUGUGACUAGUGAUAUCUAUAUAUGUGAAAUUUUCUAUGUUGAUGAACGUACAGGAUGAUGUUGUAAAGUUGUUGCCAGCGAUGCAUAUAGCAUAAGUAAAUAUUAAUAGAAAUGAAAGACACUGGGAACACACCAGCUAGUUUGGAAGGAUUACCUUGCCCAAACAACCAGUGAUAUGAAGCAAUAGGUAUCACUGCUUGUUGGUGCCAUAUUAGAGUAGUGGAGAACGUGGAGAGAAGACAGUGUAGCUGCACCAGAACGAUCCUUGUUCUAGGCCGGUUGUGAGUUUCAAGCGGCUUUGUUUGAGGUCACCAUGGUAUGUAAACCUCUUUCAAUCAAAAUGAAUGACCGGGUGGCGAAUUUCUCAUCGGCUUAGAGAUGAAUGAAAGGCAUUGGUAGAACUAAUGCAUCAACU